UCGCUUUGAAUCUGGUCGUUCAAUUGCGUUCGGGAGGGAGCACAUCUAGGCCGUCUGUGCACGCGGGAACGGACCUUAACCAUUCAAUCGCGCGCACGCGGAUCGCCCGCGUGGCCCCCCGCGUGGCCUCCUGCAUCAGCGCCUCUAUCACUUGGCGCGUCCUAGUUGGUCAGGACUGUUGGCUCAGCGUCUGACGUGGCAAAACUUUUCAAAAUUAUGUUUUGACCCCUAUUUUUUUAUUUUUCUUUCAAAAAUACCCACAAAACGCAAAUUUUCACCCAUUUUCUCCAAAAUUAUUUUCAAUUAAAUCC
This 311-nucleotide long non-coding RNA is filed under the name Carica papaya (papaya). RNAcentral's name for it is "long non-coding RNA (CPAP_LNC002766)". Lineage: Eukaryota; Viridiplantae; Streptophyta; Magnoliopsida; Brassicales; Caricaceae. The record is from RNAcentral.